Molecule: ribosomal RNA, 1137 nt
Filed under: Triticum aestivum (bread wheat)
Lineage: Eukaryota; Viridiplantae; Streptophyta; Magnoliopsida; Poales; Poaceae
Description: partial small subunit ribosomal RNA
Source: RNAcentral
AUGGCAGGUGAAGAAAACGAGUAUGAUGUUGAAGGAAAUGGGCAUCUCAAUCAGCCCGUCACACGGUUUCACUUCAACGCAUUACGUGAUCAUCUACACCAAGAGUUCAGAAACAACCUUGACCCAAUUGAAGAGAAACAAGACAAGUUGUCGAGAGAUUUGCAGCAACUUAUGGGUAAUGUUGAUGAGCAACUCACUCAGAACAUGGCAGCCAUGAGGACUGGUAUUGUUGUUGAUAUUGUGCAAGAGGUUCGUCAGAACCGAGAAGAUGCAAGUGUCCAUGGUGAAGAACAAAAUGUAACUGAUGGGGAAGGUGCUGCCUCCAAUGCACAAGCUAGAAGAAACCAUGCUCCUGCUCCCCAUGCCAUGAGACCUCCCGGUCCCGGACGUGGAAAUGAUCAUGGUAAUGGACGUGGUCAUCAUGAAGCUGCUGGUCGUGGUCUUAGAGGAGGUCACCGAAGAGCAAAUCCGCACCAUGAAGGUAGUGGAGAUGAGUUUGAUGAAGAUGAAGAUGGCAUGCACCAGAAUGACAGAUUUCAUCAUCGUAGAAACUAUGGUCAUGGACGGCAGGAGGAGGAGAGGUUUGGAAAGCUGAAAUUUACCAUGCCCAAGUUUGAUGUUGGAUCUGAUCCAGAGAGUUAUCUCACAUGGGAAUUGAAGGUUGACAAUAUUUUCCGCAUGCACAACUACUCAGAAGAGAAGAAACUAGCAAUGGCCUCACUUGAGUUUGAAGACUAUGCUCCAAUUUGGUGGGAGCAAGUUCAGAUUCAGCGAGAAGAAGAAGGAGACCUUGCUGUUGCUACAUGGACAGAAAUGAAAAGAGAGAUGAGGGAAAGAUUUGUCCCAAGGCAUUAUAGACGUGACAUCUUUGAUAAGCUCCAGAAUUUGAGGCAAGGAAAAUUAUCAGUUGAGGAGUAUCAUAAGGAGAUGGAGAAGGCAAUGAUAAGAGCCAACAUACAUGAAGAUGAGGAGCAGUCCAUGGCAAGGUUCCUCUAUGGGCUGAAUCCUAAUGUUAAACGAGUGGUUGAUUUGCAGCCAUAUUGUAAUGUGGUAGAGCUGGUACAUCUUGCUUCUAAGGUUGAACGUCAAUUGCAAGAAGACUCAAAGCAAAAUAGAACUACAUCCUUCACAGCUUGA